RNAcentral lists this ribosomal RNA (489 nucleotides) under uncultured bacterium. RNAcentral describes it as "partial 16S ribosomal RNA". It matches the Rfam family "Bacterial small subunit ribosomal RNA", at positions 28 to 507 of the family's 1533-position model. The record is from RNAcentral.
GAUGAACGCUAGCUACAGGCUUAACACAUGCAAGUCGAGGGGCAGCAUGAUUGAAGCUUGCUUCAAUCGAUGGCGACCGGCGCACGGGUGAGUAACACGUAUCCAACCUGCCGAUAACUCGGGGAUAGCCUUUCGAAAGAAAGAUUAAUACCCGAUAGUAUAGUCUUUCCGCAUGGUUUCACUAUUAAAGAACUUCGGUUAUCGAUGGGGAUGCGUUCCAUUAGAUAGUUGGCGGGGUAACGGCCCACCAAGUCAACGAUGGAUAGGGGUUCUGAGAGGAAGGUCCCCCACAUUGGAACUGAGCCACGGUCCAAACGCCUAAGGGAGGAAGCAGUGAGGAAUAUUGGUAAAUGGAAGAGAGUCUGAACCAGCCAAGUAGCGUGAAGGAAGACUGCCCUAUGGGUUGUAAACUUCUUUUAUACGGGAAUAAAGUGGAGUAUGCAUACCCCUUUGUAUGUACCGGAUGAAUAAGGAUCGGCUAACUCCGUG